AUUGAACGCUGGCGGCAGGCCUAACACAUGCAAGUCGAGCGGAUGAAGAGAGCUUGCUCCUGGAUUCAGCGGCGGACGGGUGAGUAAUGCCUAGGAAUCUGCCUGUCUGUGGGGGAUAACGUCCGGAAACGGGCGCUAAUACCGCAUACGCCCUGAGGGAGAAAGUGGGGGAUCUUCGGACCUCACGCUAUCAGAUGAUCCUAGGUCGGAUUAGCUAGUUGGUGGGGUAAAGGCCUACCAAGGCGACGAUCCGUAACUGGUCUGAGAGGAUGAUCAGUCACACUGGAACUGAGACACGGUCCAGACUCCUACGGGAGGCAGCAGUGGGGAAUAUUGGACAAUGGGCGAAAGCCUGAUCCAGCCAUGCCGCGUGUGUGAAGAAGGUCUUCGGAUUGUAAAGCACUUUAAGUUGGGAGGAAGGGCAGUAAGUUAAUACCUUGCUGUUUUGACGUUACCAACAGAAUAAGCACCGGCUAACUUCGUG
This 484-nucleotide ribosomal RNA is filed under the name uncultured bacterium. Its description in RNAcentral is "partial 16S ribosomal RNA". It matches the Rfam family "Bacterial small subunit ribosomal RNA", at positions 30 to 507 of the family's 1533-position model. The record is from RNAcentral.